Molecule: long non-coding RNA, 818 nt
Organism: Bactrocera neohumeralis
Lineage: Eukaryota; Metazoa; Arthropoda; Insecta; Diptera; Tephritidae
Exons: 2
Source: RefSeq, a predicted model, not a curated record
UGUCUGUAAGGAAUCACUUCAAAUGGUUAACAAAAGCACAACCAGUUUUCAAAUUAUUAAAACUACAUAUAAAUUAUAAAUUCUAGAUGAGGUCAAUGUCCUUUCUUCAACAAAGACUUUUCACAAGCUAAGAAUGUUGAGGACUGUCAAAACAAAGUUUAUGUAUGUAACUAUAAGCAAACGGUAGAGUGGUGCAUUAACAAAAAAAAAAAAUAGAUAUGUACAUAUAUAAAUGUAAAGUAAAAUAUAUUACUGAGAAAUAUUGAAUACUUUAAAAUUUACUCGAUAACACCACAUGAUACCACAGUUCUUGCUAUCGUCUAUAAAUAAAAUGUCAUCGAAGUCAAUUAAAGGUCAACAAUUUAAUAGCCUAUCACUGUCCAUUUUUAUAAAAUUUGAAAUUCAUAUAUUUUUUGGUGGUUCUUACUGACUUUGGUUUCGGUAGCAUUAGAAAAACUUGGAUUGGUUUUCGCCGGAGCAGUAGUGCAAUAUUUGCCUAUUUGUUUACCAGUGGUUGACGUUGAUGAUGAUGGCAAAGGGUUGGAACGUUCAGAGCUAAAAUAACAAACAAAAUAGAAAGAAACAUGUGAAAGUGAAUUGCAAUCAAAAUAUUUAUAUUAUUAUAAUGACAGCUCAACCAAAUAUGAAUUUAAUAAUGUUUUUUAAUUGCAUUUUGCUAUUUAAGGAACUUACAAAAUGCAUUUAGAAAUAUGUGAAAAAAUCGGCAAAUUUUCUUUCAACUUUCAAAACGUUCCGCAUACAGACGCAUAAUUAUAUAUGAAAAAACAAUGAAUAAAAUGUGGUUCAACUUUACCAUA